Molecule: ribosomal RNA, 497 nt
Filed under: uncultured bacterium
Lineage: Bacteria
Description: partial 16S ribosomal RNA
Rfam family: Bacterial small subunit ribosomal RNA
Source: RNAcentral
GAUGAACGCUGGCGGCGUGCCUAAUACAUGCAAGUCGAGCGAACAGACGAUGAUCUUGCUCCUCUGACGUUAGCGGCGGACGUGUGAGUAACACGUGUAUAACCUACCUAUAAUUCUGGUAUCACUUCGGGAAACCGGAUCUAAUACCGUAUAAUAUAUUGAACCGCAUUGUUCAAUAGUUAAAUACGGUUUUUCUGUCUCUUAUAGAUGGUUCCGGGCCGCAUUAGCUAGUUGUUAAGGUAACGGCUUACCAAGGCGACGAUGCGUAGCCGACCUGAGAGGGGGAUAGGCGACAGUGGAACGGAGACACGGACAAGAGUACUACGGGAGGGAGCAGUAGGGAAUCGGAGGCAAUGGGCGAAAGAAUGACGGAGCAAGGGCGAGUGAGUGAUGAAGGUCUGCGGAUCGUAAAACUGUGUUAUGAGGGAAGAACAAAUGUGGAAGGAAAUAUGGAGGUAUUGACGGUAACUAAUAAGAAAGCAACGGCUAACUACGUG